RNAcentral lists this ribosomal RNA (468 nucleotides) under uncultured bacterium. Its description in RNAcentral is "partial 16S ribosomal RNA". It matches the Rfam family "Bacterial small subunit ribosomal RNA", at positions 28 to 507 of the family's 1533-position model. The record is from RNAcentral.
GACGAACGCUGGCGGCGUGCUUAACACAUGCCAGUCGAACGGAAAGGCCCUGCUUUUGUGGGGUGCUCGAGUGGCGAACGGGUGAGUAACACGUGAGUAACCUGCCCUUGACUUUGGGAUAACUUCAGGAAACUGGGGCUAAUACCGGAUAGGAGCUCCUGCUGCAUGGUGGGGGUUGGAAAGUUUCGGCGGUGGGGGAUGGACUCGCGGCUUAUCAGCUUGUUGGUGGGGUAGUGGCUUACCAAGGCUUUGACGGGUAGCCGGCCUGAGAGGGUGACCGGCCACAUUGGGACUGAGAUACGGCCCAGACUCCUACGGGAGGCAGCAGUGGGGAAUAUUGCACAAUGGGCGGAAGCCUGAUGCAGCAACGCCGCGUGCGUGAUGACGGCCUUCGGGGUGUAAACCGCUUUCGCCUGUGACGAAGCGUGAGUGACGGUAAUGGGUAAAGAAGCACCGGCUAACUACGUG